This is a non-coding RNA of Lactuca sativa (garden lettuce), 7058 nucleotides long. Lineage: Eukaryota; Viridiplantae; Streptophyta; Magnoliopsida; Asterales; Asteraceae. The record is from RefSeq and is a predicted model, not a curated record.
UGAGUAUGAUAUGUGAAAAAAAAUAGAUAAAAAGUAAAUUCUAAAAGUAAACAAAAUAAAUUGAGUAUAGAAAAGUUGUCAACAAGCUAUCAAAAUCCAAAAAUGGAAACCGUAGCUCAUGAGCUAAGUAAUGGAAACACCAUCACCGCUGCUGACGGAGAACAAACCGGCUCCGCCUUCAAGCUAGUUGGCUUCAACAACUUCCUCCGAACAAAUCCAAUGUCCGACAAAUUCUCAGUCAAAAGGUUCCACCACGUUGAAUUCUGGUGCUCCGACGCCACCAACACUGCCUGUCGUUUCUCUUGGGGCCUUGGCAUGCCCAUCGUUCAGAAGUCUGAUCUAUCUACCGGAAACACAACUCACGCUUCCUACCUCCUCCGCUCCGGCCAACUCAACUUCCUCUUCACCGCUCCUUAUUCCCCUUCCACCACCACCACUGCCGCCUCCAUCCCGACGUUUUCCCAAACGGAUUGCCGCAACUUCACCGCCUCCCACGGCCUCGCAGUCCGCUCAAUCGCCAUCGAAGUCGAAGACGCCGAAAUCGCUUUCUCCAUCAGCGUCUCCCACGGCGCCAAACCCUCCUCUGCUCCAAUCACCCUUGGAGAUAACGACGUCGUAUUGUCUGAAGUAAAACUUUACGGUGACGUCGUUUUGCGUUACGUAAGCUACAAGAGUCCCAACUAUGAUGCCAUAUCUACUUUUUUGCCCGGGUUCAAACCCAUUGAAAAUACGUCGUCGCUUCCUGACCUUGACUACGGGAUUCGCGGCCUUGAUCACGCCGUAGGCAACGUCCCGGAACUCGCUCCGGCUAUAGAUUACGUGAAAUCAUUCACCGGAUUCCAUAAGUUCGCCGAAUUCACGGCGGAUGAUGUUGGUACGAACGAAAGCGGACUCAAUGCGGUCAAUUUAGCGUGCAAUAACGAGAUGGUUUUGAUCGCGAUGAAUGAGCCGGUGUACGGAACAAAGAGGAGGAGCCAGAUCCAGACGUAUCUGGAACACAACGAAGGCGCCGGAGUUCAGCAUUUGGCGCUCUCCAGUGAGGACAUAUUUGGGACGUUGAGAGAGAUGAGGAAGCGCAGCGGAGUUGGUGGUUUUGAAUUUAUGCCGUCGCCACCGCCUACUUAUUAUCGGAAUUUGAAGAAUAGAGUUGGAGAUGUAUUGACAGAUGAAGAGAUUAAGGAGUGUGAGGAGUUGGGAAUACUGGUGGAUAGAGAUGAUCAGGGGACUCUGCUUCAGAUCUUCACCAAGCCUGUGGGUGACAGGUAAUAUUAUGUUCCUCACAUGAAACUCCUCAAUAUUCUUCACUUCCCAAAUAGCAUAUUGCAUCAUUAAGACUUUUCUGUAUAUAGAUGAUAUCUAUUAUCAAAAGUAGUAGCCAUAUUUCUUAUCUAUACCCUAAAUUUUCUUUACUUUUCCAUUUUUCUUUAAUCAAUAAUAAUACUGUAUAAAUGGGAAGUAGUAACUAAAAAAAUUUAUAUCUUUUAGACCUAAAACCAUAACGUUUACAAUUAAGCAAUAAUAAUAAUAAUAACUGAUAAUUAAUGAUCUUAUAAAUAAUAAUGACAAUAAUAAAUGGUUUUAAAACAUUUUACCUAUAUAAUCUUUUUAAUGAAUAUAAGUGAUUUUAAAAUUCAUUAACAGUAAUAGUAAAAUAAAAUUAUAAGUUACAUUUUAACUUACACAUAAUUGUUGAUAUUUUAAAAAAUUAUCAUAAUGGUCAAAUUAAAAAAAAAAAAUCAAAUAAAUAAGUUUUAAAUUAUCAUGGGAAUACUGGUGGAUAGAGAGUCACAGUGGACUCUGCUUAGAGUUGGAUUGCAUUAUGACCCCACCAUCUAAGACUAGCUGAAAGCUAUAUCAAGUAAGUAGAUGUGUUAAAGAUUGUUAAUUUAAGCCUAGUUGCCUAAAAGAUUCAUAAAUCAAGGGUAGAAAUUGUAACAUGCAUUAAGAUACAAAAGAAAGUUGGAAGCAUAGUCCCUGUAUUAAGCUCUCCGUUGGAAUUCAUAUGAUUUUUGAGCGCGGACUGUUUAUUUCAGUUAAAAAGAAGAAAAAGAAAUCAGACCCUAAAGCAGUGGCAGUUUGGUCGUAAAUUGUUAAUUACCAAAAAAAAUGCAUAUAUUCGAGUUGGAUGUGUGAUAAGCCUAAAGCGGGGGCAAAUUGGUCUUUCUGAAAAAUCAAAAAAUGACAAAAAGAAAAACUGUAUAUAGGGGUAAUUUGGUCCUUCUCUACAUCACCCAUCUAUAUACAGCAACUGAAAUUUGGAAAUGCUUAUCAGUUUCAAGAUGCAUCGUUACAAACAAGCUCGAGUAUCAUUACAAACAAGCACACCAGUCAACAUGACUUGCUUUUAUUAAGAGAAUCCUGAUGAUGAUGCAAUAGAAGAAAUUGUAUAUAGGGGCAGUUUGGUCACAAACCGUUAAAGCAGGGGUAGAUUGGUUUUGUGCGCGUAUAAAAGGGCAGUUUUAAUCGGUCAAUUUAGAGAGAGUUCUGUGUUCACUCCAAGGACGAAGCCAAAUUUUUUUUUUUAGAGUGGUCCUCAUAUAUAUAUAUAUAUAUAUAUAUAUAUAUAUAUAUAUAUAAACUAAUUAAUGAAAAAACCAAAUGAAAAAUGAAAGAAGAAUACAAGUUUUUAAAAAGAAUAGCAUAUAUCAAUUAAUAUUAUAUCUUAUUUUGAAAAGCAAAAAGAAAAAAAAUAAAAAUGUGAGUGAGAGUGGGCCUGGACCUACCCUAGUCCUAAGGUGGCUUCGCCCUUGGUUCACUCCCUCCCCUUAAAAAAUUUUGAGAAAGAAGGCUCUGAAAAUCAAUUUCUAUUCCAGAUAAAACUAAAAAAAAUGCCAUGUCAUUAUAUUUCUAUUUCAGGUAAAACUAAAAAAAAUGCCAUGUCAUUAUAAUUUUCGUUUGUGAAUAUGUUCAAAUCAUUUUUUUGUUGUGACUAACAUGUUUUUUAUAUAAAGAAAAGGCAAAACUCUGAUGACUUUUUUUGAACAUCUUUGAAACUUUCUUACCUUUAUAAUUCAUUUUCCUUAUAUUUUAACGCAAAUUGAUAGGGAAUAAUCAAAUUGAACACGGAUGAGGAUAGGGAUAAAGUAUCCCAUGGGUCCUCCAACGCAAUCCGAUAUUGUUUCAUAAAAAUAUUUGAUGAUAAUAUUUAGUACAUUAAAAAUAAUAUUAAAAUUCAAAAAAUUUAAAUCCAAAAAAUUUAAUAAAUGACGUACAUAAGGAGGACGAUUAGAGGGUGUUAUGGGGAAGAGGAAUAGGAGUAGACCGGGAUUGAGGGUUACAAAAUAACGAACGAAAACUACAUUUUACAAAGUUCAAAAUAAAGGUGAUAAAAAUGAUAUUUUAAAAUGUAUUUUGAAAAGUAUAUAGUGAAAACAGUCAUUUUAGAAAAUAUAUUAUCAUAAAAUUUCAUUUCAUUAAGUAUUUAAAAAAAUAUAAAGUAAAAACUAUUAUUUUAAAAAGUAAAAAAAUAUAUGGAUGAAAAAAGUCACUUUAUAAAAUAUUAAGAUAGAAAAUGUCAGUUUACAAAGUAUUUUAAAACAUAUAAGGGUAAAAAUUGUCAUUUUAGAAAGUAUAAGGUAGGAAACGACGUUGCCUUUUAAUGCUUAUAGACAAAAUUGCAAAAAUGGUCCUGUGGUAUGUCCAAAAAUGCUACUUUUGGCCAAACGGGUUUGGACUAGCACAAAUGGUCCAAAGGUUUUCAUUUUGCUGCGUUUUUGGUCCAAAAUAGUUUAAAAUUUCUAAAAAUGACGAAUUUGCCCUUUUUCCAUUUGUUUUUUCUUUUCUUUUUGUUAUUUAAUUAUUUUCUAUCUAAAAAAAUAUAAAAAAUAAAAGAAAAUCUCUCUCUCUCUCUCACAUCACCCUAUACCACCCACACAAACACCACCGCCCAAGGCCACCUUCAAUCACCAAUCACCCAAGACCUCCCUUAUUCCUCAAUUAUCACCAUUCCUACCAGUUGCAAAUGUAAAAAUAAAAAAAAAAUAAAAAAAAAUAAAAAAAAAGCUACAAUCGAUUCAGAAAGGAGAAAAAGGAGAACUGUAAUCGAGUUUAGAAGAAGGAGAAAGAGGGUGCGACUUUGGGUGACUGUGUUUGUCGAUUGGAUUUUGAGAAGUGAACGGGGGUUCCGAUUUCUAGUGUGAAACCCUUGUCGUCGAUCUAAACUUGUUGGUAUUUCAAGGUUCGGUUUUUUCGAUCUAACCCUUGAUGGAGCUUCCUGUUAAAGCAAGCCUUAGCACCAACCAAAAUCGAAACUUGAACAAGAGGAUUAAGGCUUGAAUCUGAUAAGAUACCUUGUAUUGUUGAGGAAUCGACUUUGCUUGAGCAUGAAUUAAAGGAAAUUGGGGGUAAACGAGGCUAGAUAUGUCCGAUUAGGAGUUAAAUUAGGUUGCAAACUAAUCUUGGAAGAAACUAAGUUGAAAACUGAUCUUGCCCCUACAGCUGAUUCAUAACCAUCACUGGUAUCAGAGGUGACACCUACAGAACCUGCUCCAUAAACAAACUUUGAGAUCUGGGUUAAAUACACACAUUGAAAAGGAACUCGGAAUUACAUUAAAAGAAGAUGAAAAUGGUGUGUUCUGAACAGAAAAGAAAAAUGGUUACUGAGAUCGAUGGAGGAAUAAGGAAGAACGAAUGGAAGCUGCUUGAGGGUCGAAAAGAGAUGAAUACAAAAGGGAAAAUGGUGGUUGUCGCCGGUUCUUCUUCUCCGCUGAACAGUGUCGACGGUCCUGUUUGCGAUUGAUCGAAGGCUUGCUUUAGCUGGCCAUGGCGGCGAUUUGGUGGUUAUUGGGUCGGUCUGCCAUUAAAAUUGAAGGAAGACGAGAGGUUGGGCUGAAGAAGGCAACAAAUUCGAUGGUUGUUGGGUUUUUCUGGUGAUUAGGAGGAGGAGGAGGAGGAGGGGAGAGAGGGGGUGAUUUUCUUUUAUUUUUUAUAUUUUGUUAGAAAAUAAUUAAAUAAAAAAAAGAAAAGAAAAAAACAAAUGGAAAAGGGCAAAUUCAUCAUUUUUAAAAAUUUUAAACUGUUUUGGACCAAAAACGCAGCAAAAUGAAAACUUUUGGACUAUUUGUGCUAGUCCAAACUUGUUUGGCCAAAAGUAGCAUUUUUGGACAUAUCACAGGGACCCUUCUUGCAAUUUUGUCAUGCUUAUAUAAUUGGAACCUUUUUAAUGUGUGUAUUAUGUCCUUGCGAGAUUCUUUGGAUUUUAAAUAUUAAAUGGGUUAAGAGAACAGUUUAAUUUUCGUAUCAUGUUGUAUCAAUUUAUUUAUUUAAACAGCUUGUUCAAACCAGUUUAUUUGAGGGGUUUAAUGUUUAGGUUUUAGACCUUAUAAGCGUGUUGUGGCGAGUUGUGUUAUAAUAUUAAAGAUGUUGAAAGAAUUUGACAAUAACUUUAAUUAUUUAAUUUUCGUGUCGUAUCAACCGAUUAGUAAACAUGACAAAAUCUCUUAUCAAAACAUAUUAUUUUCAUGUCGGAUUGACGGAUCGUGUCAGUUUUACCGCCUCUAAAUUGAUAAUAUACCACUAGAAACCUUGGUUAAUAAUUUAGUAGUAAUUUUUUUGGUAAAUGAUUAAACCGAAAAUUCUAUAGUCAGUUACAUUAAAAUGAUAUAAACGAACAUAUUAUUUAAGGGAAAAUGUCAUUAUACCCUAAAAACUUUUCAGUUUUGGUUUAAAAGGUCUUUAAUGUUAUUUUUCUUUGGCUUUCUAGAUGCAUAAAGUCCAUUUUAAUAUGUUAAAAUGUUAAUAUCAAUAGAUAUUGGAAGAGGUCAUCCGGUAAACAUUUAUCUAGUAAAAAUAAUUUACUACCACAUCAUUUAAAAUUGGUCCACGUGUGAUGUGAUGAUGUCCAAGUGGAUUUUGACAAACUCUCUCUCUCUCUCUCUCUCUCUCUCUCUCUCUCGUUUUGAUUGCUUAAAAAAUCUCUCUCUCUCUCUCUCUCUCUCUCUCUCAUUUUGAUUGCUUAAAGAAUCACCGAUCACAAUAACAUCAUCAUAACAGUAAAUCCUUCAAUAACUUGUAUCGUAUUUUAGUUUUAUAGAUUAGAAUUUUAAGUAGAUUUGUUAAUGUUAUAUGAAGAAUAUGAAUAAAUGUUUGAUUUAAACAUAAAAUAUUUCGUACACUUCAAAACCCAAGAACGUUGUUAAAAAACAAAACAUGUUUGAUUCAAACAUAAAAAGAACUUUAAUUAUCUAUAUGUCUUAACAUAGGAAAGAAACUACUACUAAAUGUGUAAACCUAAAAAUAUAAGGUACUUGUUACCCAAAAACCAAUCAUCACCUCUUUGUUUCAAACACAUAUUUAUCCAUCAGUUUGAAACUCUGCUUUUAGGGUUUAGAUUCAAAUCCAGAAACCAACAGCCACCACCCACCACCAACAUCUUCCAUUGUUCACCACUGGUAUCUUCCGCCGCCCACCAUUAUUUAUUAUCCAAGAUCAUAAGAAGCAAAUCACACCCAGAUCUUGAAAAAAAUCUGGAAAAAAAAAUAUGUGAGGAACAGAGCACCAGAGGUGACUUCCAUGGACGAGAGCUCAGUCCCCAUGUCAGAGAUGAAAAUGAGUGGGAGGCCAGUCAGAUCUGGAAACCAUCUCUUUGCAUCACCGAGAUCCGAGAACACUGAUUACAGUCGGAGGUCAUGAUAUCGUUGUUCCUGGUAUGCUCCACAGUAGACAUAUUGUUGUACAUGUAUUAGAUGGCAUUCUCGAGUUCAUAUCUCAUAUGAUAAAUUCACUUUCGAGUGGUUGGUCAAUGUUUUUGAUGUCGCAAAGAUGUGCUUAUUUAUCUGAACCUCCUAUAGGGAAAAACUGAUGGUUUCUUGGGUCGAUUAUACUGGAGUUUAUCUUCAGUUGUUAGAGGAAGAAUGGUGGUCAAUUAUGAUGGAGUUUAUCUUAAGUUGUUAGAGGAAGAAUGAUGGUUUGUUUCUGUGAAUGGGAGCAUCGUAAAAGCGAAAGAAGAAGAUGAUGGAUAAAGAUGUGAGGUGGAUUUCAAUUAUAUUUCUUUUUUAAGUGAAAAAAACACGUGAUUUAAACCGGUAAUUACAGGUUAAGGUUUUUUUUACAUGUAAAAA